RNAcentral lists this ribosomal RNA (127 nucleotides) under Euperipatoides rowelli. RNAcentral describes it as "partial 28S ribosomal RNA". The record is from RNAcentral. Lineage: Eukaryota; Metazoa; Onychophora; Udeonychophora; Euonychophora; Peripatopsidae.
ACAGCCGUAGCACACGAGUCAGUCGUACCUAAGCCCUAGGGGAAACCCGAUGCAGAUGCCGGCCUUUAUCUAUGUCAAGUGUCCGUAAAAGCACUGGCCGCGCGUCGGGCGAAAGGGAAUUCCGGUU